UGUUAGGUGGCUGAGUUAAGGCAAUAGACUGUAGAUCUAUUAACGGAGUUAAUUCUCCCCAACAA
RNAcentral lists this transfer RNA (65 nucleotides) under Oncomelania hupensis hupensis. RNAcentral describes it as "tRNA-Tyr". It matches the Rfam family "tRNA". From Rfam's summary of the family: Transfer RNA (tRNA) molecules are approximately 80 nucleotides in length. Their secondary structure includes four short double-helical elements and three loops (D, anti-codon, and T loops). Lineage: Eukaryota; Metazoa; Mollusca; Gastropoda; Littorinimorpha; Pomatiopsidae. The record is from RNAcentral.